This 28-nucleotide non-coding RNA is filed under the name Rattus norvegicus (Norway rat). Lineage: Eukaryota; Metazoa; Chordata; Mammalia; Rodentia; Muridae. The record is from RNAcentral.
CACCUUGACUGGUUCUGGACUUGAUGGA